CUCAGUGUAGGACAACACUGAUUAAACACACUGGGAAAGAUCAUCUUCUAUGAAGACAAGAACUUCCAGGGCUGCUCCUAUGAGUGCACUAGCGACUGUGCUGACCUGCACUCUUCUUUCAGUCGCUGUAACUCUGUUCGGGUUGAAAGUGGAAACUGAAUGGUAUAUGAGCAGCCACACUUUAUGGGUUACCAGUACUUUCUGCACCAAGGCGAAUAUGCUGACUACCAAUGUUGGAUGGGUUUCAAUGAUUGUGUCAGAUCCUGUCGAAUUAUACCCCAACACCAGGGAUCCUACAAAAUGAUGAUCUAUGAACUGAGACCUGGCGAAUACAGGAGGUACAGCGACUGGGGUGCCAUGAUUACCUUGUGAAACUGAAAGGCAAGAAAUAGAUCUGGAAUGAAAUAACCUAUGCAAAGAACCUUUUCUUUUCUGAUAUUACUAUUGGAAAAUAAAUUACAACAUAAUUUAUAGAAACAUUUACGGCAGUCAGUUUUUGGAAAACAGUGGCAGUUGGUUCUUACUCCAAUCUACUUUAAGUCAGAUGUGACCCCAAUUAGGUAGGCUGAUAUUAUUUUCUGUCCUCUACAUUUAACACAAAGCUGUGUGACAUUCUAUUGUACUUUACCACUUUUGUUAUGUUUUGUCAUAAUGUACUUUCACUCUGCCUAUAUUUGACGUCAAGAAACUGCGAAUUAUUUUUGUUUACACAUCAAAAAAAAAAGUGAACUUUACAUCUGGGUAUCUGGGUGUGUUGACCACUUAAAACAGCCUGUUCUCAUUUCUCAUUCAUGAUCAAAUAAAGCAGAGGCUACAAACCAAAUUGCUAUAUUAUUUACAGCAGUUUCCAAAGCAACACAUCCAAAACAACUCCUCUAUCACAAAACCAAGGAC
Molecule: long non-coding RNA, 894 nt
Organism: Sinocyclocheilus grahami
Lineage: Eukaryota; Metazoa; Chordata; Actinopteri; Cypriniformes; Cyprinidae
Exons: 3
Source: RefSeq, a predicted model, not a curated record